Long non-coding RNA from Sapajus apella (tufted capuchin), 1120 nucleotides. RefSeq lists it as uncharacterized. The record is from RefSeq and is a predicted model, not a curated record. NCBI's taxonomy places the organism in Eukaryota, Metazoa, Chordata, Mammalia, Primates, Cebidae. The transcript is spliced from 2 exons.
GAGCAAGAUUUCAUCUCAAAAAAAUCCCAAAAUUCUUAUUUUAUAAUUUUUGUACAUGUGAUAAGUAGAAGAAUUAUCUAUAAGCCAGCUUUGGCCCCUAUACAUUUCGAACUUUGUUUUUCUUCUGUUAGUAACAUACUUCAGUGUUGGGCAGCAUAAAACAUGCUCUUAUUAACCUACGGCCCUGUAUUUUCAUAUCACAUAACCAGUUUAGUGAGGACUGUGGGCAGCAGAUUUCCUGGAAGGCAACCUUAUAUCAGAAAAGCUGGCAAUGACCUAAGCAGUAACACCCUGAAGCAGAAGGAGCCUCCACCCUGGUGCCUCAGAUUUAGAGGGCUCAGCUCUUACUUCUGGCCACAUCACCCCACAAAAGGCAAGAAUUUCAUGAGGCCAAAUGGGCAUGCUGUAUGAGAGUCUACAGCUGCCUUAUAGACUACAUAUUCUGGGCACUCAAAACUCAGAAAUUUCCUGAUCAUUUUUAGGCUGGGAUGGCCUGAUCUGUCUCCUCAAGUGUGGGCAGCAUUGCUAGUAUGUGUACCCUUAAACUGAAGGAGUGGACAACAGGUAGCUGUUGGCAAGAUAUGUGAACAGAGCUUAGACAUGCAGCCUGGCGUGUCCAUGUAUGUAACUGUGAAGUCCUCAGAGUGUGGAAUAUAGCUGGUAAUGGAAAGAGAUUGGGUGAGCUGUGGGUCAGCUUUCCUAUAUACAUUCUGGUAAGGAGCUCCAAAGAAUCUGAAAACUCCAGAUUCAGACCUGUUCUCCUUGUCAAGCCUGUGAAGCCCCAUGCACCAAAUCCCUGGUUACAAAGUUUAGUCCCAGGCCUAACCACACGAAGCAGAGUUCGUUCAGCACUUGUCAAAGAUCUACACACCUCCCGGGAGAAAAGGAUUGCUGUGGGACCAUUUAGAUCUAACAACCCAACUCUUUAGCUGGGUAAAUACUCAGAGAGAAGAUUCUACCAUCAUGUCUUCUCCCUCUGGAAAGAAAGGUACUCAUCUCUAAGCUGAACACUUCUCUUACUUCAAGAUUCAGGAAGCAGUGGACCUGGUCACAGUGGGUCUUUUUAAUUGACACUGUACAAUCUUGUUGUCACUAUGUUUAUAAUGAAAAAUUAUUUAAC